UACGGAGGGGGCAAGCGUUGUUCGGAAUUACUGGGCGUAAAGCGCACGUAGGCGGAUGUACAAGUUGGGGGUGAAAGCCCAGGGCUUAACCCUGGAACUGCCUUCAAGACUGUACGUCUUGAGUUCGAGAGAGGUAAGGGGAAUUCCUAGUGUAGAGGUGAAAUUCGUAGAUAUUAGGAAGAACACCGGUGGCGAAGGCGCCUUACUGGCUCGAUACUGACGCUGAGGUGCGAAAGCGUGGGGAGCAAACAGG
This 253-nucleotide ribosomal RNA is filed under the name uncultured bacterium. RNAcentral describes it as "partial 16S ribosomal RNA". It matches the Rfam family "Bacterial small subunit ribosomal RNA", at positions 524 to 776 of the family's 1533-position model. The record is from RNAcentral.